RNAcentral lists this ribosomal RNA (799 nucleotides) under uncultured Actinomycetes bacterium. Its description in RNAcentral is "bacterial SSU rRNA". It matches the Rfam family "Bacterial small subunit ribosomal RNA", at positions 72 to 885 of the family's 1533-position model. Lineage: Bacteria; Bacillati; Actinomycetota; Actinomycetes. The record is from RNAcentral.
CCUGCAGCUUGCUGCGGGUACUCGAGUGGCGAACGGGUGAGUAACACGUGGGUGAUCUGCCUUGCACUUCGGGAUAAGCUUGGGAAACUGGGUCUAAUACCGGAUAGGACAGCUGUUUAGUGUCAGUUGUGGAAAGUUUUUUCGGUGCAAGAUGAGCUCGCGGCCUAUCAGCUUGUUGGUGGGGUAAUGGCCUACCAAGGCGUCGACGGGUAGCCGGCCUGAGAGGGUGUACGGCCACAUUGGGACUGAGAUACGGCCCAGACUCCUACGGGAGGCAGCAGUGGGGAAUAUUGCACAAUGGGCGGAAGCCUGAUGCAGCGACGCCGCGUGGGGGAUGAAGGCCUUCGGGUUGUAAACUCCUUUCGACAGGGACGAAGCGUAAGUGACGGUACCUGUAUAAGAAGCACCGGCUAACUACGUGCCAGCAGCCGCGGUAAUACGUAGGGUGCGAGCGUUGUCCGGAAUUACUGGGCGUAAAGAGCUCGUAGGUGGUUUGUCGCGUCGUCUGUGAAAUUCCGGGGCUUAACUCCGGGCGUGCAGGCGAUACGGGCUGACUUGAGUGCUGUAGGGGAGACUGGAAUUCCUGGUGUAGCGGUGAAAUGCGCAGAUAUCAGGAGGAACACCGAUGGCGAAGGCAGGUCUCUGGGCAGUAACUGACGCUGAGGAGCGAAAGCAUGGGUAGCGAACAGGAUUAGAUACCCUGGUAGUCCAUGCCGUAAACGGUGGGCGCUAGGUGUAGGGGGCUUCCACGUCUUCUGUGCCGUAGCUAACGCAUUAAGCGCCCCGCCUGGGGAUACGC